UACCUUUUGUAUAAUGGGUCAGCGACUUAUAUUCUGUAGCAAGGUUAACCGAAUAGGGGAGCCGAAGGGAAACCGAGUCUUAACUGGGCGUUAAGUUGCAGGGUAUAGACCCGAAACCCGGUGAUCUAGCCAUGGGCAGGUUGAAGGUUGGGUAACACUAACUGGAGGACCGAACCGACUAAUGUUGAAAAAUUAGCGGAUGACUUGUGGCUGGGGGUGAAAGGCCAAUCAAACCGGGAGAUAGCUGGUUCUCCCCGAAAGCUAUUUAGGUAGCGCCUCGUGAAUUCAUCUCCGGGGGUAGAGCACUGUUUCGGCAAGGGGGUCAUCCCGACUUACCAACCCGAUGCAAACUGCGAAUACCGGAGAAUGUUAUCACGGGAGACACACGGCGGGUGCUAACGUCCGUCGUGAAGAGGGAAACAACCCAGACCGCCAGCUAAGGUCCCAAAGUCAUGGUUAAGUGGGAAACGAUGUGGGAAGGCCCAGACAGCCAGGAUGUUGGCUUAGAAGCAGCCAUCAUUUAAAGAAAGCGUAAUAGCUCACUGGUCGAGUCGGCCUGCGCGGAAGAUGUAACGGGGCUAAACCAUGCACCGAAGCUGCGGCAGCGACGCUGAUGCGUUGUUGGGUAGGGGAGCGUUCUGUAAGCCUGCGAAGGUGUGCUGUGAGGCAUGCUGGAGGUAUCAGAAGUGCGAAUGCUGACAUAAGUAACGAUAAAGCGGGUGAAAAGCCCGCUCGCCGGAAGACCAAGGGUUCCUGUCCAACGUUAAUCGGGGCAGGGUGAGUCGACCCCUAAGGCGAGGCCGAAAGGCGUAGUCGAUGGGAAACAGGUUAAUAUUCCUGUACUUGGUGUUACUGCGAAGGGGGGACGGAGAAGGCUAUGUUGGCCGGGCGACGGUUGUCCCGGUUUAAGCGUGUAGGCUGGUUUUCCAGGCAAAUCCGGAAAAUCAAGGCUGAGGCGUGAUGACGAGGCACUACGGUGCUGAAGCAACAAAUGCCCUGCUUCCAGGAAAAGCCUCUAAGCAUCAGGUAACAUCAAAUCGUACCCCAAACCGACACAGGUGGUCAGGUAGAGAAUACCAAGGCGCUUGAGAGAACUCGGGUGAAGGAACUAGGCAAAAUGGUGCCGUAACUUCGGGAGAAGG
Molecule: ribosomal RNA, 1142 nt
Filed under: Escherichia coli
Lineage: Bacteria; Pseudomonadati; Pseudomonadota; Gammaproteobacteria; Enterobacterales; Enterobacteriaceae
Description: partial 23S ribosomal RNA
Rfam family: Bacterial large subunit ribosomal RNA
Source: RNAcentral